Molecule: small RNA, 127 nt
Filed under: Marmota monax (woodchuck)
Lineage: Eukaryota; Metazoa; Chordata; Mammalia; Rodentia; Sciuridae
Source: RNAcentral
GCUGGGCAUGGUGGUGCAUGCCCGUAAUCCCAGAGGCUCAGGAGGCUGAGGCAAGAGGAUCAAGAGUUCAAAGACAGCCUCAGCAAUUUAGAGAGUCCCUAAGCAACUCAGUGAGAUCCUGUUUCUA